GAGUUUGAUCCUGGCUCAGAGCGAACGCUGGCGGCAGGCUUAACACAUGCAAGUCGAGCGGGCGUAGCAAUACGUCAGCGGCAGACGGGUGAGUAACACGUGGGAACGUACCUUUUGGUUCGGAACAACUGAGGGAAACUUCAGCUAAUACCGGAUAAGCCCUAACGGGGAAAGAUUAUCGCCGAAAGAUCGGCCCGCGUCUGAUUAGCUAGUUGGUGAGGUAAUGGCUCACCAAGGCGACGAUCAGUAGCUGGUCUGAGAGGAUGAUCAGCCACACUGGGACUGAGACACGGCCCAGACUCCUACGGGAGGCAGCAGUGGGGAAUAUUGGACAAUGGGGGCAACCCUGAUCCAGCCAUGCCGCGUGAGUGAUGAAGGCCCUAGGGUUGUAAGCUCUUUUGUGCGGGAAGAUAAUGACGGUACCGCAAGAAUAAGCCCCGACUAACUUCGUGCCAGCAGCCGCCGCGGUAAC
Molecule: ribosomal RNA, 472 nt
Filed under: uncultured microorganism
Description: bacterial SSU rRNA
Rfam family: Bacterial small subunit ribosomal RNA
Source: RNAcentral